This 253-nucleotide ribosomal RNA is filed under the name uncultured bacterium. RNAcentral describes it as "partial 16S ribosomal RNA". It matches the Rfam family "Bacterial small subunit ribosomal RNA", at positions 524 to 776 of the family's 1533-position model. The record is from RNAcentral.
UACGUAGGGGGCUAGCGUUGUCCGGAAUCAUUGGGCGUAAAGAGCGUGUAGGCGGUCCGGUAAGUCCGUUGUGAAAGUCAGGGGCUCAACCCUUGAAUGCCGGCGGAUACUGUCGGGCUAGAGUCCGGAAGAGGCGAGUGGAAUUCCUGGUGUAGCGGUGAAAUGCGCAGAUAUCAGGAGGAACACCAAUGGCGAAGGCAGCUCGCUGGGACGGUACUGACGCUGAGACGCGAAAGCGUGGGGAGCAAACAGG